CAGCAGCCGCGGGAAUACGUAGGUCCCGAGCGUUGUUCGGAAUCACUGGGCGUAAAGGGAGCGUAGGCGGCGUGGUAAGUCAGAUGUGAAAUCCCGGGGCUCAACCCCGGAACUGCAUCCGAUACUGCCAUGCUAGAGGAUUGGAGAGGUAGCUGGAAUUCUUGGUGUAGCAGUGAAAUGCGUGGAGAUCAAGAGGAACACUCGUGGCGAAAGCGAGCUACUGGACAAUAACUGACGCUGAGGCUCGAAGGCCAGGGUAGCGAAAGGGAUUAGAUACCCCUGUAGUCCCUGUCUCUUAUAC
Molecule: ribosomal RNA, 301 nt
Filed under: uncultured bacterium
Lineage: Bacteria
Description: partial 16S ribosomal RNA
Rfam family: Bacterial small subunit ribosomal RNA
Source: RNAcentral